Molecule: non-coding RNA, 237 nt
Organism: Pelobates cultripes (western spadefoot toad)
Lineage: Eukaryota; Metazoa; Chordata; Amphibia; Anura; Pelobatidae
Source: the annotation of a GenBank genome assembly
AUUAGACAAUAUUCACUACACGGUAAAGAAACUGAAUUUCAAAAUGUAAACUAAAAGUAGCUACAUAUAGACUGAACUGAAGUUGCUUGCCAAAUCGGCUAUUUUGGUAAUAUUUUUCAAUUCCAGGCUAGAAAAUAAACCCCAUUGUGUCGAAGUUUGAGUAAAUAAUUUGUGACAAGAGAAAGGGGUAUUUUGGAUCAGUAUGUAAUAUAAUUUACAGCGACAGUUCAGUCUCCC